GCUAUUUUGGCAGAUAAUAUGCAUUAGAUUUAGGAUUUAAUUAUAUAGCGGAGUCUAUAGAUAGUAAAGUAAUUUUAAAGCUAAUUAUUUU
RNAcentral lists this transfer RNA (91 nucleotides) under Potamon elbursi. RNAcentral's name for it is "tRNA-Leu". The record is from RNAcentral. Lineage: Eukaryota; Metazoa; Arthropoda; Malacostraca; Decapoda; Potamidae.